GACGAACUGUCCUAACGUUGUUCGGAAUCACUGGGCUUAAAGGGCGCGUAGGCGGUCCGACAAGUCAGGGGUGAAAUCCUGCAGCUUAACUGCAGAAGUGCCUUUGAUACUGUCGGUCUUGAGGGAGAUAGGGGUGUGCGGAACUCACAGUGGAGCGGUGAAAUGCGUUGAUAUUGUGAGGAACGCCGGAGGCGAAAGCGGCGCCCUGGAUCUCUUCUGACGCUGAGGCGCGAAAGCUAGGGGAGCAAACGGG
This 253-nucleotide ribosomal RNA is filed under the name uncultured bacterium. RNAcentral describes it as "partial 16S ribosomal RNA". It matches the Rfam family "Bacterial small subunit ribosomal RNA", at positions 524 to 776 of the family's 1533-position model. The record is from RNAcentral.